This 378-nucleotide ribosomal RNA is filed under the name uncultured cyanobacterium. RNAcentral describes it as "bacterial SSU rRNA". It matches the Rfam family "Bacterial small subunit ribosomal RNA", at positions 376 to 770 of the family's 1533-position model. The record is from RNAcentral. Lineage: Bacteria; Bacillati; Cyanobacteriota.
GGCAACCCUGACGGAGCACGCCGCGUGAGGGAGGAAGGCCUUAGGGUUGUAAACCUCUUUUCUCUGGGAAGAAGAACUGACGGUACCAGAGGAAUAAGCCUCGGCUAACUCCGUGCCAGCAGCCGCGGUAAGACGGAGGAGGCAAGCGUUAUCCGGAAUUAUUGGGCGUAAAGCGUCCGUAGGUGGCUUUUCAAGUCGGCGGUCAAAGACCGGGGCUUAACUCCGGAAAGGCCGUGGAAACUGAAAGGCUAGAGAAAGGUAGGGGUAGGGGGAAUUCCCGGUGUAGCGGUGAAAUGCGUAGAGAUCGGGAAGGACACCGGUGGCGAAAGCGCCCUACUGGACCUUAUCUGACACUGAGGGACGAAAGCUAGGGGAGCG